UUGCACUUUGCUGACGAGUGGCGGACGGGUGAGUAAUGCUUAGGAACGUGCCUUUUGGAGGGGGAUAACCAUUGGAAACGAUGGCUAAUACCGCAUAAUACCUGCGGGUCAAAGGGGCUUAAUUGCUCCGCCGAGAGAGCGGCCUAAGUGAGAUUAGCUAGUAGGAGGGGUAAAGGCUCUUCUAGGCGACGAUCUCUAGCUGUUCUGAGAGGAAGGACAGCCACACUGGGACUGAGACACGGCCCAGACUCCUACGGGAGGCAGCAGUGGGGAAUAUUGCACAAUGGGCGCAAGCCUGAUGCAGCCAUGCCGCGUGUGUGAAGAAGGCCUUCGGGUUGUAAAGCACUUUCAGUCAGGAGGAAAGGAUAAUCAGGCAAUGGGUUAUUUAUGACGUUACUGACAGAAGAAGCACCGGCUAACUCCGUGCCAGCAGCCGCGGUAAUACGGAGGGUGCGAGCGUUAAUCGGAAUAACUGGGCGUAAAGCGCACGCAGGCGGUUUGUUAAGCUAGAUGUGAAAGCCCAGCGCUCAACGUUGGAAGGUCAUUUAGGACUGGCAAGCUAGAGUCUCGGAGAGGGGAGUGGAAUUCCAGGUGUAGCGGUGAAAUGCGUAGAUAUCUGGAGGAACAUCGGUGGCGAAGGCGGCUCUCUGGCCGAGGACUGACGCUCAUGUGCGAAAGUGUGGGUAGCGAACAGGAUUAG
This 700-nucleotide ribosomal RNA is filed under the name uncultured Gammaproteobacteria bacterium. RNAcentral describes it as "bacterial SSU rRNA". It matches the Rfam family "Bacterial small subunit ribosomal RNA", at positions 80 to 781 of the family's 1533-position model. Lineage: Bacteria; Pseudomonadati; Pseudomonadota; Gammaproteobacteria. The record is from RNAcentral.